UACGUAGGUGACCAGCGUUGUCCGGAUUUACUGGGCGUAAAGAGCGCGCAGGCGGCCGAUCAAGUCGAGCGUGAAAGCCCCCGGCUCAACUGGGGAGGGUCAUUCGAUACUGAUCGACUCGAAGGCAGGAGAGGGUAGUGGAAUUCCCGGUGUAGUGGUGAAAUGCGUAGAUAUCGGGAGGAACACCAGUGGCGAAGGCGACUACCUGGCCUGUUCUUGACGCUGAGGCGCGAAAGCUAGGGGAGCAAACGGG
Molecule: ribosomal RNA, 253 nt
Filed under: uncultured bacterium
Lineage: Bacteria
Description: partial 16S ribosomal RNA
Rfam family: Bacterial small subunit ribosomal RNA
Source: RNAcentral